This 301-nucleotide ribosomal RNA is filed under the name uncultured bacterium. RNAcentral describes it as "partial 16S ribosomal RNA". It matches the Rfam family "Bacterial small subunit ribosomal RNA", at positions 509 to 807 of the family's 1533-position model. The record is from RNAcentral.
CAGCCGCCACGGGAAUACGUAGGUGGCAAGCGUUGUCCGGAAUUAUUGGGCGUAAAGGGCUCGCAGGCGGUUUCUUAAGUCUGAUGUGAAAGCCCCCGGCUCAACCGGGGAGGGUCAUUGGAAACUGGGAAACUUGAGUGCAGAAGAGGAGAGUGGAAUUCCACGUGUAGCGGUGAAAUGCGUAGAGAUGUGGAGGAACACCAGUGGCGAAGGCGACUCUCUGGUCUGUAACUGACGCUGAGGAGCGAAAGCGUGGGGAGCGAACAGGAUUAGAUACCCCCGUAGUCCCUGUCUCUUAUAC